RNAcentral lists this ribosomal RNA (460 nucleotides) under uncultured bacterium. Its description in RNAcentral is "bacterial SSU rRNA". It matches the Rfam family "Bacterial small subunit ribosomal RNA", at positions 342 to 794 of the family's 1533-position model. The record is from RNAcentral.
AGGGAGGCAGCAGUGAGGAAUUUUGCACAAUGGCCGAAAGGCUGAUGCAGCAACGCCGCGUGAGUGAAGAAGGCCUUCGGGUUGUAAAGCUCUGUUGCCCGUGACGAAGUGCGCUUUCAGGAAAUGGGAAGCGUUUGACGGUAGCGGGAGAGGAAGCUCCGGCUAACUACGUGCCAGCAGCCGCGGUAAUACGUAGGGAGCGAGCGUUGUCCGGAUUUAUUGGGCGUAAAGGGCGUGUAGGCGGCCAUUUAAGUCGGGGGUGAAAACCCGGGGCUCAACCCCGGGACUGCCUUCGAUACUGGAUGGCUUGAGUACUCUAGAGGGCAGUGGAAUUCCCGGUGUAGCAGUGAAAUGCGUAGAGAUCGGGAGGAACACCAGUGGCGAAGGCGACUGCCUGGGGAGAAACUGACGCUGAGGCGCGAAAGCUGGGGGAGCAAACGGGAUUAGAUACCCCGGUAGU